GACGAACGCUGGCGGCGUGCUUAACACAUGCAAGUCGAACGGAAAGGCCCCUUUGGGGGUACUCGAGUGGCGAACGGGUGAGUAACACGUGAGUAACCUGCCCUUGACUUCGGGAUAACUUCAGGAAACUGGGGCUAAUACCGGAUAGGAAUCCUUGCUGCAUGGUGGGGGUUGGAAAGCUUCGGCGGUUUUGGAUGGACUCGCGGCUUAUCAGCUUGUUGGUGGGGUAGUGGCUUACCAAGGCUUUGACGGGUAGCCGGACUGAGAGGGCGACCGGCCACAUUGGGACUGAGAUACGGCCCAGACUCCUACGGGAGGCAGCAGUGGGGAAUAUUGAACAAUGGGCGGAAGCCUGAUGCAGCAACGCCGCGUGCGGGAUGACGGCCUUCGGGUUGUAAACCGAUUUCAGCAGGGGCGAAGCUUGUGGUGACGGUACCUGCAGAAGAAGCACCGGCUAACUACGUG
Molecule: ribosomal RNA, 465 nt
Filed under: uncultured bacterium
Lineage: Bacteria
Description: partial 16S ribosomal RNA
Rfam family: Bacterial small subunit ribosomal RNA
Source: RNAcentral